RNAcentral lists this ribosomal RNA (397 nucleotides) under uncultured bacterium. RNAcentral's name for it is "partial 16S ribosomal RNA". It matches the Rfam family "Bacterial small subunit ribosomal RNA", at positions 523 to 918 of the family's 1533-position model. The record is from RNAcentral.
AUACGUAGGGGGCGAGCGUUGUCCGGAAUGAUUGGGCGUAAAGGGCGCGUAGGCGGCCCGGUAAGUCUGGAGUGAAAGUCCUGUUUUUAAGAUGGGAAUUGCUUUGGAUACUGUCGGGCUUGAGUGCAGGAGAGGUAAGUGGAAUUCCCAGUGUAGCGGUGAAAUGCGUAGAGAUUGGGAGGGACACCAGUGGCGAAGGCGACUUACUGGACUGUAACUGACGCUGAGGCGCGAAAGUGUGGGGAGCAAACAGGAUUAGAUACCCUGGUAGUCCACACUGUAAACGAUGAAUGCUAGGUGUAGGGGGUAUCGACCCCUUCUGUGCCGCAGUCAACACAAUAAGCAUUCCGCCUGGGGAGUACGGCCGCAAGGUUGAAACUCAAAGGAAUUGACGGGG